Esox lucius (northern pike) is the source of this 1031-nucleotide long non-coding RNA. RefSeq lists it as uncharacterized. The record is from RefSeq and is a predicted model, not a curated record. NCBI's taxonomy places the organism in Eukaryota, Metazoa, Chordata, Actinopteri, Esociformes, Esocidae. The transcript is spliced from 4 exons.
UAUAGUAUGUGCAAUGCAAUAAAUCAUAGGUCAAUAAGUUACAACAUAAGUGGCGAUGAUUCUAAAAACAGAGAAUUUCACAGGAGGGUUCAAACACAUAUUAUCUCAGUCAAGUAAUUGUUAUAGCUGAUGAAAGUACUAAUUUAAAGUAUUUGAACAUACUAAAUUCAAAUACACAUUUUGAAAUACCUGGGUAAAAUGCAUAGGAGUUCAUUUGGGUGUAUUCAAAUAUGUUACAUAAUUGCAAUGUUUUUUGUCCCUAAAUAUUUUACUCUUCAUUUUAUACCAACAUUCUUUUGAAUGGCUUUUAAAGUGACUUAUAUAACCUUCAUAGUAUGUGAAGUGAACCCAAGGCUGCAAAUAACAGGUUGAUGAGCCUGAGGCAUGGAAAGUAUACAAUGAGGUGUGUGUGUUUCUGUGUGUGUUUGUUCAGACAAAUAUGUGGGUAAUGGUUGUGUACAUUUUGUGGCAGUUGGCUACAGAAAGAGGAUAAAAGACGAAUGAAGACGCACAAUUUCAGCUAACGUGGUUUACACAGAGAGGCCCAGAAACCACAUCAAACCACAUCAGCUUUCAACCAAAACACCCAUCCUUGAAUUCUGAGACCAAUGAGGACCCUGAGUGUGUUAAUGUUGCUGGUUCUGGUGGGUGUCAUAGUAGCAGGAUCAUUCACUGACAGCCUGACCCAAGAUGCUGAGCUGCAGGAGUCUGACAGAAGGGAGGACCAGCCUCUUCAAAUGAUAUGACACAAAGCCAUGGGGGAGCAGAGGGACUAUAUACACAGACACUGAUGAGGGGAUAUGAACCAGGUGUGUGUGAUAACAAGACUAAUGGAACGAUGAGUGGAGAGACGGUAGAAGCUAGAAUGCCAAAGCCGGAACACCGGGAGGAGGCAGCAUCGGAGGGUGUCGUGACAACUUGUUACACUUGGCAAUAAUAAAUCCAACUCUGCCGCAGUCACUCAAGUGGUCCAAGUGGGUUCUGGGACCUUUAUGUUUUCUGUAUACAUGCUGCCAAUAGUAAAAUCAAUA